UUCGCCCUUAGAGUUUGAUCCUGGCUCAGGACGAACGCUGGCGGCGUGCCUAACACAUGCAAGUCGAGCGGAGACAGUGAGUAGCUUGCUAUGAGCUGUUUUAGCGGCGGACGGGUGAGUAACGCGUGAGCAACCUUUCCCAGACAGGGGAAUAACACACCGAAAGGUGUACUAAUACCGCAUAAGACCACGGGAUCACAUGGUUCUGGGGUAAAAGAAUUAUCGGUUUGGGGUGGGCUCGCGUCCGAUUAGGUAGUUGGUGAGGUAACGGCCCACCAAGCCGACGAUCGGUAGCCGACCUGAGAGGGUGAUCGGCCACAUUGGGACUGAGACACGGCCCAAACUCCUACGGGAGGCAGCAGUGGGGAAUAUUGCACAAUGGGCGAAAGCCUGAUGCAGCAACGCCGCGUGAGGGAAGACGGUUUUCGGAUUGUAAACCUCUGUUUUCGGUGACGAACAAAUGACGGUAACCGAGUAGGAAGCCACGGCUAACUACGUGCCAGCAGCCGCGGUAAUACGUAGGGAGCAAGCGUUGUCCGGAUUUACUGGGUGUAAAGGGUGCGUAGGCGGCUUUGCAAGUCAGAUGUGAAAUCUAUGGGCUCAACCCAUAAACUGCAUUUGAAACUGUAGAGCUUGAGUGAAGUAGAGGCAGGCGGAAUUCCCCGUGUAGCGGUGAAAUGCGUAGCGAUGGGGAGGAACACCAGUGGCGAAGGCGGCCUGCUGGGCUUUAACUGACGCUGAGGCACGAAAGCGUGGGUAGCAAACAGGAUUAGAUACCCUGGUAGUCCACGCUGUAAACGAUGAUUACUAGGUGUUGGAGGAUUGACCCCUUCAGUGCCGCAGUUAACACAAUAAGUAAUCCACCUGGGGAGUACGACCGCAAGGUUGAAACUCAAAGGAAUUGACGGGGGCCCGCACAAGCAGUGGAGUAUGUGGUUUAAUUCGAAGCAACGCGAAGAACCUUACCAGGUCUUGACAUCCGAUGCAUAGCGCAGAGAUGCGUGAAGUCCUUCGGGACAUCGAGACAGGUGGUGCAUGGUUGUCGUCAGCUCGUGUCGUGAGAUGUUGGGUUAAGUCCCGCAACGAGCGCAACCCUUAUUGCCAGUUACUACGCAAGAGGACUCUGGCGAGACUGCCGUUGACAAAACGGAGGAAGGUGGGGAUGACGUCAAAUCAUCAUGCCCUUUAUGACCUGGGCUACACACGUACUACAAUGGCGUUAAACAAAGAGAAGCAAGACCGCGAGGUGGAGCAAAACUCAAAAAUAACGUCUCAGUUCGGAUUGUAGUCUGCAACUCGACUACAUGAAGCUGGAAUCGCUAGUAAUCGCGAAUCAGAAUGUCGCGGUGAAUACGUUCCCGGGUCUUGCACACACCGCCCGUCA
RNAcentral lists this ribosomal RNA (1384 nucleotides) under uncultured bacterium. RNAcentral describes it as "16S ribosomal RNA". It matches the Rfam family "Bacterial small subunit ribosomal RNA". The record is from RNAcentral.